CCUACGGGAGGCAGCAGUGGGGAAUAUUGGGCAAUGGGCGCAAGCCUGACCCAGCAACGCCGCGUGAAGGAAGAAGGCUCUCGGGUUGUAAACUUCUUUUCUGAGGGACGAAGAAAGUGACGGUACCUCAGGAAUAAGCUACGGCUAACUACGUGCUAGCAGCCGCGGUAAUACGUAGGUGGCAAGCGUUAUCCGGAUUUAUUGGGUGUAAAGGGCGUGUAGGCGGGAAUGCAAGUCAGAUGUGAAAACUCAGGGCUCAACCCUGAGCCUGCAGUUGAAACUGUUUUUCUUGAGUGCUGGAGAGGCAAUCGGAAUUCCGGGUGUAGCGGUGAAAUGCGUAGAUAUACGGAGGAACACCAGUGGCGAAGGCGGAUUGCUGGACAGUAACUGACGCUGAGGCGCGAAAGCGUGGGGAGCGAACAGGAUUAGAUACCCCAGUAGUC
This 443-nucleotide ribosomal RNA is filed under the name uncultured bacterium. RNAcentral's name for it is "partial 16S ribosomal RNA". It matches the Rfam family "Bacterial small subunit ribosomal RNA", at positions 338 to 795 of the family's 1533-position model. The record is from RNAcentral.